CCCUACGGGGCGCAGCAGUGGGGAAUAUUGGGCAAUGGGCGCAAGCCUGACCCAGCAACGCCGCGUGAAGGAAGAAGGCUUUCGGGUUGUAAACUUCUUUUGACAGGGAAGAGCAGAAGACGGUACCUAUCGAAUAAGCCACGGCUAACUACGUGCCAGCAGCCGCGGUAAUACGUAGGUGGCAAGCGUUGUCCGGAUUUACUGGGUGUAAAGGGCGUGUAGCCGGGCUGACGAGUCAGAUGUGAAAUCCGGGGGCUCAACCCCCGAACUGCAUUUGAAACUGUAUUUCUUGAGUGCUGGAGAGG
This 305-nucleotide ribosomal RNA is filed under the name uncultured bacterium. RNAcentral's name for it is "bacterial SSU rRNA". It matches the Rfam family "Bacterial small subunit ribosomal RNA", at positions 337 to 657 of the family's 1533-position model. The record is from RNAcentral.